Molecule: long non-coding RNA, 1460 nt
Filed under: Bemisia tabaci
Lineage: Eukaryota; Metazoa; Arthropoda; Insecta; Hemiptera; Aleyrodidae
Description: lncRNA ENSSSA3NGG003794
Source: RNAcentral
CUGAAGAGGAUAGAAGUACUUAAUUUUGAAAAGAAGAAAGACACUGAGGCAGUAAUUAAUUGGUAAGUAAUGAUAAACAAAAAUGCAGCUUACCAAGUUUAUCUCCAUGUGUUCACUGUAGGAGGGGAAAUAAUCCAAAUUAUAACGAACAACACAAUGUAAACCCUAAGAGAGGACAACCGGUACACAUCACGCUAAUUAGGUACGUAAGUAGAUGCGAUUUGAAGACUAGAGUAGCCUCUAAUAAGACUAAAUCUGAAGGUGUGGGAGGGAAUGGAAUCCUUUGAUCAGAGAUGCGGAUUUCUGUUAUCACUGGCAAACUUUAAAGAGAAUAUCUCUAAUUACUGCAAGUACUGAAAACGCAUGCUGAGAAUCGAACUUUUAAUCACGAACUCACGACAAUAAUAAAACCUACAUCACAACAGAAGACACGACCAAUCAAAUCACUAGAAGAACUUUUCACGGAAUGCGAAGCGGCACGACCCUUACCGCUGGAUAAGGAACAGAAACUGAGCUUCUGAACUUUCUUUCAAUAAACCAGUCAGCGCCACCAGCGCGCAGCGGCCCAGCAGCAGCGGCCAGCAACCAGUCCGGAGGACAUGAAAUUCCGUCUGUUGAAAUUUGAAAUAUAAAAUGGAAUGAACUAAACUAAGCUCUCUGAUUGGCUGUUAGAGGUCCACCAAUUCCAAAUUCCUGUUUCAUUCGGAAUCGGGUUUGUUGACACGCCGCUUAAGUAUCCCAAAGGGUAUUUUCAUUUUCUAAUUAAAGUUUAAAUCCAGUUAUGUAAUUGGAGGGCCCGGAUGUAAUCAAAGUGUUGUAAGUUCUAUAAAUUUCCAUUCGUAUCCAGUAAAAUAUCUUUGAUGGGUGAAGAAAAUGAACACGGCUCAAAACCCUACGAUCGUCCAGCGGUGAGGUCCAAAGAAACUCUCAACACAUCGCAGUCCUACAAGCAAACCUACCGGAAAGCCUGGGAAGAACUUCCAGAUUUCAAAGGGUGGUUAUCUGCAGAUCCUGAAGGCAACAAAUCUCGAGCUUACUGUAAAGUGUGCAAUAAGACACUUCAUGCCCAUCGAAUUAGUUUACUUAAGCACACUGUUUCCUUGAAGCAUACAAGAGCUUUCCAGUCUUAUGCAACAUCAUCUAGCAGCAUUGAAAUCUCUUACCCUGUUGAUCAUCUUCGGAAAGCGGCAGAAUCUGCUCAAAUUCUCGAAUAUCAGACGGUUAGUGAAGGAGAUUUCAAUGAGUCCUCUCACAGUAAUUUGAACGAAACUCUAGAAGGGGAAUGUUCCAGUAAUCAAAACAUUACUGACACAGAUGCCAUAACAAUCCAAAUCAUGGACCCUUUGCAACAGAACUCCCUUGAAGCCCAUAAUUCUCAAGAAGAAACUGCUCUAAACAGAAAUGAAGUAAGCCAAAAAGAUAUAUUUCAUUUCAAUAAUAUACAAAAUAAACUGAAUUAA